RNAcentral lists this non-coding RNA (89 nucleotides) under Brevundimonas sp. AAP58. Its description in RNAcentral is "TPP riboswitch aptamer (THI element)". It matches the Rfam family "TPP riboswitch aptamer (THI element)", at positions 7 to 92 of the family's 105-position model. Rfam says of the family: Vitamin B(1) in its active form thiamin pyrophosphate (TPP) is an essential coenzyme that is synthesised by coupling of pyrimidine and thiazole moieties in bacteria. The previously detected thiamin-regulatory element, thi box was extended, resulting in a new, highly conserved RNA secondary structure, the THI element, which is widely distributed in eubacteria and also occurs in some archaea. The record is from Rfam by way of RNAcentral. RNAcentral also lists the same sequence under 1 other name. Lineage: Bacteria; Pseudomonadati; Pseudomonadota; Alphaproteobacteria; Caulobacterales; Caulobacteraceae.
UCUCCCGGGGGCGGCGCCUGAGCCGCUGAGAUUGGCGUGAUCGCCUGACCGGCCGAACCUGAUCCGGGUCAUGCCGGCGAAGGGAGAGA